AAGUCGUAACAAGGUUUCCGUAGGUGAACCUGCGGAAGGAUCAUUAACACAAGUAAAAAAACAUUUUUACAACACCCUAUUAUGAAUUUAAAUUUUUUAAUUUUAAUUUUAAUUUUUUUAUAAAACUACAAAAAAAAUAUUUAAUUUAUUUGACUAACAAUUUUUAAUUAAUUUAUUUAAAAUUUUAUAAAACAACUCUUAACAACGGAUAUCUUGGCUCUC
This 222-nucleotide unclassified non-coding RNA is filed under the name fungal sp. RNAcentral's name for it is "partial internal transcribed spacer region". The stretch from base 1 to 46 matches the Rfam family "Eukaryotic small subunit ribosomal RNA", at positions 1786 to 1831 of the family's 1831-position model. Lineage: Eukaryota; Fungi. The record is from RNAcentral.